AGCCGGGUGGUGUAGCGGCCAAGCAUCGCGGGCUUUGGCCCCGCGGACCCAGGUUCGAAUCCUGGCCCGGCUA
This 73-nucleotide transfer RNA is filed under the name Thermoprotei archaeon. RNAcentral's name for it is "tRNA-Gln". It matches the Rfam family "tRNA". Rfam says of the family: Transfer RNA (tRNA) molecules are approximately 80 nucleotides in length. Their secondary structure includes four short double-helical elements and three loops (D, anti-codon, and T loops). Lineage: Archaea; Thermoproteati; Thermoproteota; Thermoprotei. The record is from RNAcentral.